Molecule: transfer RNA, 82 nt
Organism: Wallemia ichthyophaga EXF-994
Lineage: Eukaryota; Fungi; Basidiomycota; Wallemiomycetes; Wallemiales; Wallemiaceae
Rfam family: tRNA
About the family: Transfer RNA (tRNA) molecules are approximately 80 nucleotides in length. Their secondary structure includes four short double-helical elements and three loops (D, anti-codon, and T loops).
Source: Rfam
UCGUGUAUGGUGUAGUGGUUAUCAUAUCGGUUUUUCACUUGAAAGACCACCGAAGAGCCGGGUUCGAUUCCCGGUACGCGAA